This 319-nucleotide ribosomal RNA is filed under the name uncultured fungus. RNAcentral's name for it is "SSU rRNA". It matches the Rfam family "Eukaryotic small subunit ribosomal RNA", at positions 1344 to 1680 of the family's 1831-position model. Lineage: Eukaryota; Fungi. The record is from RNAcentral.
UGACCUGCUAAAUAGACGGGUUGACAUUUUGUUGGCCCCUAUGUCUUCUUAGAGGGACAAUCGACCGUCUAGGUGAUGGAGGCAAAAGGCAAUAACAGGUCUGUGAUGCCCUUAGAUGUUCCGGGCUGCACGCGCGCUACACUGACAGAGACAACGAGUGGGGCCCCUUGUCCGAAAUGACUGGGUAAACUUGUGAAACUUUGUCGUGCUGGGGAUGGAGCUUUGUAAUUUUUGCUCUUCAACGAGGAAUUCCUAGUAAGCGCAAGUCAUCAGCUUGCGUUGACUACGUCCCUGCCCUUUGUACACACCGCCCGUCGCU